Molecule: ribosomal RNA, 565 nt
Filed under: Streptomyces lincolnensis
Lineage: Bacteria; Bacillati; Actinomycetota; Actinomycetes; Kitasatosporales; Streptomycetaceae
Description: bacterial SSU rRNA
Rfam family: Bacterial small subunit ribosomal RNA
Source: RNAcentral
GUUGGUGAGGUAAUGGCUCACCAAGGCGACGACGGGUAGCCGGCCUGAGAGGGCGACCGGCCACACUGGGACUGAGACACGGCCCAGACUCCUACGGGAGGCAGCAGUGGGGAAUAUUGCACAAUGGGCGAAAGCCUGAUGCAGCGACGCCGCGUGAGGGAUGACGGCCUUCGGGUUGUAAACCUCUUUCAGCAGGGAAGAAGCGAAAGUGACGGUACCUGCAGAAGAAGCGCCGGCUAACUACGUGCCAGCAGCCGCGGUAAUACGUAGGGCGCAAGCGUUGUCCGGAAUUAUUGGGCGUAAAGAGCUCGUAGGCGGCUUGUCACGUCGGGUGUGAAAGCCCGGGGCUUAACCCCGGGUCUGCAUUCGAUACGGGCUAGCUAGAGUGUGGUAGGGGAGAUCGGAAUUCCUGGUGUAGCGGUGAAAUGCGCAGAUAUCAGGAGGAACACCGGUGGCGAAGGCGGAUCUCUGGGCCAUUACUGACGCUGAGGAGCGAAAGCGUGGGGAGCGAACAGGAUUAGAUACCCUGGUAGUCCACGCCGUAAACGGUGGGAACUAGGUGUUG